Dermochelys coriacea (leatherback sea turtle) is the source of this 884-nucleotide long non-coding RNA. RefSeq lists it as uncharacterized. The transcript has 3 exons. The record is from RefSeq and is a predicted model, not a curated record. NCBI's taxonomy places the organism in Eukaryota, Metazoa, Chordata, Testudines, Dermochelyidae.
GGCCCUGACUAACCAGUGAAGUGAGUGGGAGACAUAGAGGGGAACUUGAGAAAAAGGAUGGGAAGUGGUUCAGGGAUAACUACAGCAAAGGUAAAGUUGUAGCCCUAGCUGUUUGGUACAAGGCCUAGGCUGGAACCUAGAGUCAAGGAUAGGUCUGGGUUCCCUUACUGGCCCUGGGAAGGGGCUACAAACCCCUAGAAAGGCUUGUUGAGGUCAGCAAGGGGGCUGCAGGCUGAACUGAGGUUAGGCUGAAGAAAGAGCCCCUGACAGGGUAGAAGGCCUUUCUGUUAAAGAAACUUUUAGUUUGGGCCAAUGGCAUCCCCAAAGGGGUGGACUAAAGCUGAUGACCCGGACAGAGGGCUGAGUCAUCAGACAGAGAAAUCACCAUAGCACUGGAGUGAUCAUUGGAAAUUUUUUUUUAAAAUCUAUGGAGGCUGACAUUUUAAUCAGACAAAGUCAAGAAAAUCAGAAUUAUGGGGCUAGAUCACUAGUCCUCACUAAGUGCUGUUCCAGUAGUACAAUGGGCACUAAAGCAGACAACCACUCCUGGCCCCCCCAGAAGCUGUCUGGGACUCUGGGCUCCCAAUAAUUUUGGUACUCUGUGGGGACAGAUGUGUCCAUGAUGGGUGUACGUGCACUGGGCCCACCUACCCCACUAAGCCUGUGGCCUGUGAGGGAGUGGAGGCCAGAAUGGAGGAAAUGAAGAGGAGUUGACUGGGUUUUACUACAUGCUUUGAGGCAGCCUCCUGAGUUCAACCUUAUGCAGAGAGGGAAGCAGCCUGGUCUGGGACAGGGCACUGAAGGAUAGGUACCUGUGGGAAAAUUUCUGUCUCCUGUUUUUCUGUGGAAAAUUGGGUUUUUGAUUAAACAAUUGUUCUUGUGCA